Molecule: ribosomal RNA, 463 nt
Filed under: uncultured bacterium
Lineage: Bacteria
Description: partial 16S ribosomal RNA
Rfam family: Bacterial small subunit ribosomal RNA
Source: RNAcentral
GACGAACGCUGGCGGCGUGCUUAACACAUGCAAGUCGAACGGAAAGGCCUUUUCGGAGGUACUCGAGUGGCGAACGGGUGAGUAACACGUGGGUGAUCUGCCCUGCACUCUGGGAUAAGCCUGGGAAACUGGGUCUAAUACCGGAUAGGACCGCACUUUAGUGUGUGUGGUGGAAAGUUUUUGCGGUGUAGGAUGAGCCCGCGGCCUAUCAGCUUGUUGGUGGGGUAAUGGCCUACCAAGGCGGCGACGGGUAGCCGGACUGAGAGGUUGGUCGGCCACAUUGGGACUGAGAUACGGCCCAGACUCCUACGGGAGGCAGCAGUGGGGAAUAUUGCACAAUGGGCGCAAGCCUGAUGCAGCGACGCCGCGUGGGGGAUGACAGCCUUCGGGUUGUAAACUCCUUUCGCCAGGGACGAAGCGUUUUGUGACGGUACCUGGAGAAGAAGCACCGGCUAACUACGUG